Molecule: ribosomal RNA, 253 nt
Filed under: uncultured bacterium
Lineage: Bacteria
Description: partial 16S ribosomal RNA
Rfam family: Bacterial small subunit ribosomal RNA
Source: RNAcentral
UACGAGGGGGGCGAGCGUUGUUCGGAAUUAUUGGGCGUAAAGGGCGCGUAGGCGGUCGGAUAAGUCUUGUGUGAAAUCUUCGGGCUCAACUCGAAGUCUGCACAGGAAACUAUCUGGCUUGAGUGUGGGAGAGGUGAGUGGAAUUCCUGGUGUAGCGGUGAAAUGCGUAGAUAUUCGCAAGAACACCAGUGGCGAAGGCGGCUCACUGGCCCGAUACUGACGCUGAGGCACGAAAGCGUGGGGAGCAAACAGG